Rhincodon typus (whale shark) is the source of this 735-nucleotide long non-coding RNA. RefSeq lists it as uncharacterized. The transcript is spliced from 3 exons. The record is from RefSeq and is a predicted model, not a curated record. NCBI's taxonomy places the organism in Eukaryota, Metazoa, Chordata, Chondrichthyes, Orectolobiformes, Rhincodontidae.
CACCACGGGAGGAAGAGAUCACAACACUGCAAAUACAAAAUACCACGAACGAACACCUCCUAUUGCAAACAAAGAUUGAGAUUUAGAGAGAACGUGGGUACGCAACUCUAAAAUACCGUGAAAUAUUUUAUCACAUUAUUUCAAUAUCGUUAUGGAAGUUAUCACCACUUCUCUCCGUAAACAUCUCGAUUCGUGGAGCCCAGUUAAAAGAUGGCGAAAAUGAAUUGGAUGGGUCACUACAGGCUUGAGACUCACCCAGAUGCCAUUUGUAAGGAACUGUCAGCGAGGACGCGAAUCAUUGCUGUACAAACCCACUCUGCGCUGAAUUUAAAGUCUGCUGUGUAAGUACUUCCGGGACGUACGGCACUACAACUGAAACGUUAGUGGGACACAAAUGAGUUGCGGCGGGUGUGUGGAGAGAACGCGAGCCAGGAAGGAACUGAUAUAUUCGGGCAUUGGCUAAACUCGAAACACUACAAGUAUAGUGUCUCUCACCCAUCCUUCUCUAACCAAAAAAAAGUCUGUGUGGAGGGUCGGUAAGGUCAGUUACCUAUUAGUAGGUCCCAACAUGCGAGGACUGAUGUGAUUCCACUGUGGCGUUUUUGCUAAAGGAAAGAUUACUGAAGUUGGAGUAGUUGGAUUUGUCUGAAGCAUGAAGUCGUCAUCAUCAUCGUCCUCUUGACUGCUUGGAAAGCUGGGAAGCUGUACAAUGUUGAAAGAAAUAUUGAAAUUCAA